GAUCCUGGCUCAGGAUGAACGCUGGCGGCGUGCUUAACACAUGCAGGUCGAACGAAGCACCUUGAUUUGAUUCUUCGGAUGAAGAUCUUGGUGACUGAGUGGCGGACGGGUGAGUAACGCGUGGGUAACCUGCCUCAUACAGGGGGAUAACAGUUAGAAAUGACUGCUAAUACCGCAUAAGACCACAGUACCGCAUGGUACAGGGGUAAAAACUCCGGUGGUAUGAGAUGGACCCGCGU
Molecule: ribosomal RNA, 239 nt
Filed under: uncultured bacterium
Lineage: Bacteria
Description: partial 16S ribosomal RNA
Rfam family: Bacterial small subunit ribosomal RNA
Source: RNAcentral